RNAcentral lists this ribosomal RNA (495 nucleotides) under uncultured bacterium. RNAcentral's name for it is "partial 16S ribosomal RNA". It matches the Rfam family "Bacterial small subunit ribosomal RNA", at positions 28 to 507 of the family's 1533-position model. The record is from RNAcentral.
GACGAACGCUGGCGGCGUGCCUAAUACAUGCAAGUAGAACGCUGAAGGAGGAGCUUGCUUCUCUGGAUGAGUUGCGAACGGGUGAGUAACGCGUAGGUAACCUGCCUGGUAGCGGGGGAUAACUAUUGGAAACGAUAGCUAAUACCGCAUAAUAGCAGUUGCUGCAUGACAACUGUUUGAAAGGUGCAAUUGCACCACUACCAGAUGGACCUGCGUUGUAUUAGCUAGUUGGUGGGGUAACGGCUCACCAAGGCGACGAUACAUAGCCGACCUGAGAGGGUGAUCGGCCACACUGGGACUGAGACACGGCCCAGACUCCUACGGGAGGCAGCAGUAGGGAAUCUUCGGCAAUGGACGGAAGUCUGACCGAGCAACGCCGCGUGAGUGAAGAAGGUUUUCGGAUCGUAAAGCUCUGUUGUAAGAGAAGAACGAGUGUGAGAGUGGAAAGUUCACACUGUGACGGUAGCUUACCAGAAAGGGACGGCUAACUACGUG